AGAAUAAUACUCCAUAGAUCUUUGAGGCUGGAAUGCGCUUAGAUUUAAAGCUUCGGCGCCUAAGGAUGAGUCUGCGGACUAUCAGGUAGUAGUCAGGGUAAAGACCUGACUAGCCUACGACGGAUAUGGGUUGUGAGUGCAAUAACCCAGAGAUGAUAUCUGAGACACGAUAUCAGGCCCUACGGGGCGCAGCAGGCGCGAAAACUUCACAAUGCGCGAAAGCGCGAUGAGGGGAUCCCAAGUGCUUGCACGUAAGUGUAAGCUGUUUUUCUGUCUAAAAAGCAGAGAGAGUAAGAGCUGGGUAAGACGGGUGCCAGCCGCCGCGGUAAUACCUGCAGCUCAAGUGGUGGCCGCUAUUAUUGGGCCUAAAACGUCCGUAGCCGGCUGAGUAAAUGCCUGGGUAAAUCGUAUGGCUUAACCAUACGAACUCCGGGUAGACUGCUUAGCUUGGGACCGGAAGAAGUUAGAGGUACUCCUGGGGUAGGGGUGAAAUCCUGUAAUCCUGGGGGGACCACCAGUGGCGAAGGCGUCUAACUAGGACGGGUCUGACGGUGAGGGACGAAGCCCUGGGGCGCAAACCGGAUUAGAUACCCGGGUAGUCCAGGGUGUAAACGCUGCUUGCUUGAUGUUAGUUGGGCUCCGAGCUCGACUAGUGUCGGAGAGAAGUUGUUAAGCAAGCUGCCUGGGAAGUACGGUCGCAAGGCUGAAACUUAAAGGAAUUGGCG
This 725-nucleotide ribosomal RNA is filed under the name uncultured archaeon. RNAcentral describes it as "bacterial SSU rRNA". It matches the Rfam family "Archaeal small subunit ribosomal RNA", at positions 143 to 870 of the family's 1478-position model. The record is from RNAcentral.